UCCUGUUAACACAAGGUUAAGGAAUAUACAUUUGCUCAAAAUAAAGUUCCAAGUUUAAAGCAAUCAGGUCGAACAAAGUCUUCUCGUAGCAAACGAAACUGAACAUCAAGAUAGUCAUCAACACUGGAAGGUAAAGCAAAAGAAAUGGUUUGCUUGUCAUUCUGAUGUCCUCUGGAGUAGGAAAGACAGAUAUAGAUCUAAAAUUAUCUGGAGGUAGUCUGUCAUCAUUUGGACUAUAUCUGCCUUCCUUUCGAUCUUCUGUGAAGUUACUGCAUAUAGAAAAUAGAGAUCAAGACACAAAGACAUCAGGUGCAAGCAACAUGAUACUUGUCUGGCUACUUUUUCGGGAUCGGGUGGGC
This is a non-coding RNA of Ciona intestinalis (vase tunicate), 359 nucleotides long. The record is from RefSeq and is a predicted model, not a curated record. NCBI's taxonomy places the organism in Eukaryota, Metazoa, Chordata, Ascidiacea, Phlebobranchia, Cionidae.